UACGAAGGGUGCAAGCGUUACUCGGAGUUACUGGGCGUAAAGCGUGCGUAGGUGGUUGUUUAAGUCUGUCGUGAAAGCCCUGGGCUCAACCUGGGAAUUGCGAUGGAAACUGGGCGACUAGAGUGUGGCAGAGGGUAGUGGAAUUCCUGGUGUAGCAGUGAAAUGCGUAGAGAUCAGGAGGAACAUCCGUGGCGAAGGCGACUGCCUGGGCCAACACUGACACUGAGGCACGAAAGCGUGGGGAGCAAACAGGAUUAGAUACCCUGGUAGUCCACGCCCUAAACGAUGCGAACUGGAUGUUGGGUGCAAUUUGGCACGCAGUAUCGAAGCUAACGCGUUAAGUUCGCCGCCUGGGGAGUACGGUCGCAAGACUGAA
RNAcentral lists this ribosomal RNA (376 nucleotides) under uncultured bacterium. RNAcentral's name for it is "bacterial SSU rRNA". It matches the Rfam family "Bacterial small subunit ribosomal RNA", at positions 524 to 898 of the family's 1533-position model. The record is from RNAcentral.